GAUGAACGCUAGCUACAGGCUUAACACAUGCAAGUCGAGGGGCAGCAUGAUUGAAGCUUGCUUCAAUCGAUGGCGACCGGCGCACGGGUGAGUAACACGUAUCCAACCUGCCGAUAACUCGGGGAUAGCCUUUCGAAAGAAAGAUUAAUACCCGAUAGCAUAGUAUUUCCGCAUGGUUUCACUAUUAAGGAACUUCGGUUAUCGAUGGGGAUGCGUUCCAUUAGAUAGUUGGCGUGGUAACGGCCCACCAAGUCAACGAUGGAUAGGGGUUCUGAGAGGAAGGUCCCCGACAGGGUGACCGAGACACGGUCGAAACUGAUACGGGAGGGAGCAGUGAGGGAUACUGGUGUAGGGAAGAGAGUAUGAUGCAGCCAAGUAGCGUGAAGGAUGACUGCGCUCGGGAUUGUGAACUUCUUUUAGUCGGGAAUAAAGGGGUGUAUGCAUACUCGUUUGUAUGUAACGGAUAAAGAAGGACCGGCUAACUACGUG
This 489-nucleotide ribosomal RNA is filed under the name uncultured bacterium. RNAcentral's name for it is "partial 16S ribosomal RNA". It matches the Rfam family "Bacterial small subunit ribosomal RNA", at positions 28 to 507 of the family's 1533-position model. The record is from RNAcentral.